UAGGGAAUCUUCCGCAAUGGACGAAAGUCUGACGGAGCAACGCCGCGUGAGUGAAGAAGGAUUUCGGUUCGUAAAACUCUGUUGUUAGGGAAGAAAAAAUGUAUAGUAACUAUAUACAAAAGAGACGGUACCUAACCAGAAAGCCACGGCUAACUACGUGCCAGCAGCCGCGGUAAUACGUAGGUGGCAAGCGUUGUCCGGAAUUAUUGGGCGUAAAGCGCGCGCAGGUGGUUUAGAAAGUCUGAUGUGAAAGCCCACGGCUCAACCGUGGAGGGUCAUUGGAAACUAAUAAACUUGAGUGCAGGAGAGAAAAGUGGAAUUCCUAGUGUAGCGGUGAAAUGCGUAGAGAUUAGGAGGAACACCGGUGGCGAAAGCGGCUCUCUGGUCUGUAACUGACGCUGAGGCUCGAAAGCGUGGGGAGCGAACAGG
RNAcentral lists this ribosomal RNA (429 nucleotides) under Verrucomicrobiota bacterium. Its description in RNAcentral is "Verrucomicrobia bacterium partial 16S ribosomal RNA". It matches the Rfam family "Bacterial small subunit ribosomal RNA", at positions 355 to 776 of the family's 1533-position model. The record is from RNAcentral. Lineage: Bacteria; Pseudomonadati; Verrucomicrobiota.